This 407-nucleotide ribosomal RNA is filed under the name uncultured bacterium. RNAcentral describes it as "partial 16S ribosomal RNA". It matches the Rfam family "Bacterial small subunit ribosomal RNA", at positions 28 to 526 of the family's 1533-position model. The record is from RNAcentral.
GACGAACGCUGGCGGCGUGCCUAAUACAUGCAAGUCGAGCGGAGCGGCGGACGGGUGAGUAAUGCCUAGGAAUCUGCCUGGUAGUGGGGGAUAAAGUCCGGAAAGGGGAGAUAAUACCGCAUACUAUCAGAUGAGCCUAGGUCGGAUUAGCUAGUUGGUGGGGGAAAGGCCUACCAAGGCGACGAUCCGUAACUGGUCUGAGAGGAUGAUCAGUCACACUGGAACUGAGACACGGUCCAGACUCCUACGGGAGGCAGCAGUGGGGAAUAUUGGACAAUGGGCGAAAGCCUGAUCCAGCCAUGCCGCGUGUGUGAAGAAGGUCUUCGGAUUGUAAAGCACUUUAAGUUGGGAGGCGUUACCAACAGAAUAAGCACCGGCUAACUUCGUGCCAGCUGCCGCGGUAAUAC